This 1551-nucleotide ribosomal RNA is filed under the name metagenome. RNAcentral's name for it is "bacterial SSU rRNA". It matches the Rfam family "Bacterial small subunit ribosomal RNA". The record is from RNAcentral.
AGAGUUUGAUCCUGGCUCAGAGUGAACGCUGGCGGCGUGGAUUAGGCAUGCAAGUCGAGCGAUCUUUUGGGAGGCAGAGGUUGAAGCCGUAAGGCAGAUGCCAAUGUGCCUGAUUGAUAGCGGCAGACUGGUGAGUAACACGUGAGUAAUCUACCCUUAAGUUAGGGAAAGUCUCGCGAAAGCGGGAAUAAUCCCUGAUGUGUCCGUGACAGCUUAAGUUGUUACGGGUAAAGGCGGGGAACCGCAAGGUCCUGUCGCUUAAGGAUGAGCUCGCGUCCUAUCAGCUAGUUGGUAGGGUAAUGGCCUACCAAGGCUUUUGACGGGUAGCUGGCCUUAGAGGGUGGUCAGCCACACGGGGACUGAGACACUGCCCCGACUCCUACGGGAGGCUGCAGUCGAGGAUAUUUAGCAAUGGACGAAAGUCUGACUAUGCGACGCCGCGUGAGGGAUGAAGGUUUUCGGAUCGUAAACCUCUUUCGAUCGGGAAGAAAAUCCACAGGGUAAUACCCUGUGGCCUGACGGUACCGAGAGAAGAAGCCACGGCCAACUCCGUGCCAGCAGCCGCGGUAAUACGGGGGUGGCGAGCGUUACUCGGAUUUAUUGGGUGUAAAGGGCAGGUAGGCGGCUUGACAAGUGGGAGGUGAAAUACCUCGACUCAAUCGAGGAACUGCCUUCCAAACUAUCAAGCUUGAGUCCAGAAGAGGAGAAUGGAAUUCCCGGUGUAAGGGUGAAAUCUGUAGAUAUCGGGAGGAACACCAGAGGCGAAGGCGAUUCUCUGGUCUGGUUCUGACGCUGAACUGCGAAAGCUAGGGGAGCAAACAGGAUUAGAUACCCUGGUAGUCCUAGCCGUAAACGAUGAGCACUAGGUGUUAGCCCUUUUGGGUUAGCGCCGUAAGAUAACUCGUUAAGUGCUCCACCUGGGGACUACGACCGCAAGGUUAAAACUCAAAGGAAUUGACGGGGGCCUGCACAAGCGGUGGAACAUGUGGUUUAAUUCGACGAUACGCGAAGAACCUCACCAAGGCUUGACAUGUAGGAAGUAUGAACCUGAGAGGGGGAAGACCUGUCAAAUCAGGAGCCUACACAGGUGCUACAUAGCUGUCGUCAGCUCGUGUCGUGAGAUGUUGGGUUAAGUCCCUCAACGAGCGCAACCUCUAUCCUUAGUUGCAACUUUAUGGCCAGCGUAAGCUGGUUAUGGAGGCACUUUAAGGAGACUGCCCCGGAUAACGGGGAGGAAGGCGGAGAUGACGUCAAGUCCGUAUGGCCUUUAUGCCUUGGGCUACACACGUGUUACAAUGCCCACUACAAAGCGUCGCCAACCCGCGAGGGGGGGCCAAUCGCAGAAAAGUGGGCCCAGUUCAGAUUGGAGUCUGCAAUUCGACUCCAUGAAGACGGAAUCGCUAGUAAUGGCGGAUCAGCUACGCCGCCGUGAAUACGUUCCCAGGCCUUGUACACACCGCCCGUCAAGCGAUGGGAGCUGGAUUUACCCGAAGUCUUACGCAAGUAGGCCUAAGGUAAUACUGGUGACUGGCGCUAAGUCGGAACAAGGUA